UACGUAGGUCCCGAGCGUUGUCCGGAUUUAUUGGGCGUAAGGCGAGCGCAGGUGGUUUAUUAAGUCUGGUGUAAAAGGCAGUGGCUCAACCAUUGUAUGCAUUGGAAACUGGUAGACUUGAGUGCAGGAGAGGAGAGUGGAAUUCCAUGUGUAGCGGUGAAAUGCGUAGAUAUAUGGAGGAACACCGGUGGCGAAAGCGGCUCUCUGGCCUGUAACUGACACUGAGGCUCGAAAGCGUGGGGAGCAAACAGG
This 252-nucleotide ribosomal RNA is filed under the name uncultured bacterium. Its description in RNAcentral is "partial 16S ribosomal RNA". It matches the Rfam family "Bacterial small subunit ribosomal RNA", at positions 524 to 776 of the family's 1533-position model. The record is from RNAcentral.